RNAcentral lists this long non-coding RNA (259 nucleotides) under Brassica napus (rape). Its description in RNAcentral is "long non-coding RNA (BNAP_LNC018569)". Lineage: Eukaryota; Viridiplantae; Streptophyta; Magnoliopsida; Brassicales; Brassicaceae. The record is from RNAcentral.
GUUGCAUUAUGACUGAAAGGAGCGUGUCUAGCUUAUAUUGUAAGGACUUCAGUUCUUUCAUGGUGUGCAUAUCAUCACUUUGACCUCCUUGGUUGUUUCUGUCAUACUCAUAGUUAUAGAGAGUCACCCUUAGCCAAUUUUCCACAAGUUUUACCCCCUCAUUCUCAGACCUUCGCUAAAAGUUCCCAUUGCUUGUAGUGUCAAGCAUGUUUCUAUAUUUGAUUGAGCAAGACUCCUCGUUACAGUGUACUCAAUAAGC